Molecule: non-coding RNA, 26 nt
Filed under: Mus musculus (house mouse)
Lineage: Eukaryota; Metazoa; Chordata; Mammalia; Rodentia; Muridae
Source: RNAcentral
UGGAAGCCUUACUCCUGCCUCCUGAG